GGUACCUACGGGGGGCAGCAGUGGGGAAUAUUGCACAAUGGAGGGAACUCUGAUGCAGCGACGCCGCGUGAGUGAAGAAGUAAUUCGUUAUGUAAAGCUCUCUCAGCAGGGAAGAAAGUGACGGUACCUGAAAAAGAAGCUCCGGCUAAAUACGUGCCAGCAGCCGCGGUAAUACGUAUGGAGCAAGCGCUAUCCGGAAUUACUGGGUGUAAAGGGAGAGUAGGCGGCAAGGUAAGCGAUAUGUGAAAGCCUUAGGCUUAACCAAAG
RNAcentral lists this ribosomal RNA (267 nucleotides) under uncultured bacterium. RNAcentral's name for it is "partial 16S ribosomal RNA". It matches the Rfam family "Bacterial small subunit ribosomal RNA", at positions 334 to 618 of the family's 1533-position model. The record is from RNAcentral.